This 103-nucleotide microRNA precursor is filed under the name Marmota monax (woodchuck). The record is from RNAcentral. Lineage: Eukaryota; Metazoa; Chordata; Mammalia; Rodentia; Sciuridae.
AGUGGGAUAACUGGGUCAUAUGGUGGCUCCAUUUCUCGUUUUCUGAGGAGUCUCCAUACUACUUUCCAGAGUGGUUAUACUAAUUUGCAGUCCCAUCAGCAAU